Long non-coding RNA from Saccostrea echinata, 339 nucleotides. RefSeq lists it as uncharacterized. The record is from RefSeq and is a predicted model, not a curated record. Lineage: Eukaryota; Metazoa; Mollusca; Bivalvia; Ostreida; Ostreidae. The transcript has 2 exons.
AAAGGAGUUUCUGUUGUAGUUGUCAUAACGUAAGCUUUGUCAAAUCAGCAUGUCUAAAGCCUUAAGUGUCCUUCUGCUGGGAUUACUAUGCACAUUUGCCGCUGGACUGAUACUUCCACCGCACCCUGGAAGAUGUCCAAGAUUACCCAGUGACGUGUUCACCACUUGUCUGGUGACCUGUGAAACUGACAGGGAUUGCCCGUUCUACCAGAAGUGCUGCAACAAUGGUUGUGGUAGAGACUGCGUUGUACCAAUUCAUGGCCGAGGCUAUUAUUAAUGAAAACCAAUACUUUACCUGAAAAUUGUCAAAAUAAAUUUUAUGUGAUUUGAACAACUUUA